GAUGUUUUGUGACUAGAGGUGGCUUUCUCAACCUUCUGGAGAAGACUCCUGAUCUUAACUCUCGAAACCUCAUGGAGUCAGGAUUGUUAGCCCUGAACCUGGAGGACCGGUGGACCACUCUUAGUCUGGCCUCUACUCUUUGACGUGUUUGGCAUGGGUGACCCUACCAAGAGCCAAAGCAAAAGGCCCUGACUCCAGCCAUCAUAGCCCUCCAGGUCACUGAGGCACGCAAGCCUCCAAACCCAUAUGGCACGGCUGUGGUUCUCUUGGAGGAAUUGUGCAUUGUAUAUAGGAAAGGAUUCUGUCCGGAUGCAUCAUGGCGAACUGCUCUGCACAUGACGACAAGAAACUGCAGAGAAACUGCUGUGGACGUAGCUCUGUACAUCACAGGAACCAGCCUCCCCUCUGUGAGCCCUGUCCAUACUUGUCGUUGCCUCAGUAAGCAGCAAGCAUGAUCAAAGACCCACCCAACCUGGUCAUCCUCUCUUCUCCCCCUUCGCAUCGGGCAGAAGAUGAAAAAGCCUGAAAGCACGUACCACCAGGCUCACGGACAGCUUCUAUCCACUGUUAUCAGACUCUCAAACAGACCUCUUGCACAAAUAGAUGGACUCCUGGCCUUCCAGUCUACUCGUUAUGAUCUUACACUUUAUCGUUUACCUGCACUGCACUUUUACAAUAGCUUUUACACUUCCUUUUGCAUUGUUAUUGUUUUACCUUAUCAAUGCAAUGAGUAAUGAUUUUAUUUAUCUGAUUGAAAUACACCAUGAAAUAGGCCCUUCUGGCCCUUCGAGCCAUGCCGCCCAGCAACCCCUGAUUGAACCCUAGCCUAAUUACAGGGCAAUUUAUAAUGGCCAAUUAACCUACCAAUGAGCACACCUUUGGAGUGUGGGAGGAAACCAGAGAAAUCGGAGGAAACCCACGUGGUUACGGGAGGAUCAUGUGAACACCUUACAGGCAGUGCCGGGAAUUGAACCUGAAUUGCUAGUACUGUAAAGCGUUGUGCUAACCACUAUGUCACCGUACUGCCCGAUUUGUUCUAUAUAAACAAUAUGUAAAACAAGCUUUACUCUGUAUCCUGGUACACGUGACAAUAAUAAACCAAUAUCGAAGGUACCAUGUCAGUGCCUUUAGCUCUUCACUACUAAAUUAUUGCUUUAUCAUGGAAUGUUAAUUAUACAAAUCACAGUCCACAAAUUAAUCUGUUGCAAAAUAAACUUCGAUCAAUAAUGAAUUAUACAUUGAAGCACGCGGUGUUAAUUUUCAUCUAUGGAUGUCACAAUUAGAGGGCAGUGUAGGUCUAUUAUUACAUUUCCUGAGGCGGUACCACAAGAUGGCACUAACAGGGCUCCAUUAUGGUUUCUGCUCUCUCAUUUACUCACUAAUCUGUCUCUGUUAUAAUUAAACCAAUAUUAGCCAUUAACUUCCUGAUAGGAUGAAGGGAUCCAACAGUUUAUGGUCUUAAGGAAUUUUAAUUCCCUUAGGUUACUACAAAUCACCAAUAUCAAUAUUCUGGUAGGCAAUCUAAAGCAGAUGGGAACAGCAGC
This is a long non-coding RNA of Mobula hypostoma (lesser devil ray), 1544 nucleotides long. RefSeq lists it as uncharacterized. The record is from RefSeq and is a predicted model, not a curated record. NCBI's taxonomy places the organism in Eukaryota, Metazoa, Chordata, Chondrichthyes, Myliobatiformes, Myliobatidae. The transcript is spliced from 3 exons.